UGACUCUCGGCAACGGAUAUCUCGGCUCUUGCAUCGAUGAAGAACGUAGCGAAAUGCGAUACCUGGUGUGAAUUGCAGAAUCCCGUGAACCAUCGAGUCUUUGAACGCAAGUUGCGCCCGAGGCCAUCCGGCCAAGGGCACGCCUGCCUGGGCGUCACGC
This 160-nucleotide ribosomal RNA is filed under the name Ensete glaucum. RNAcentral describes it as "5.8S ribosomal RNA". It matches the Rfam family "5.8S ribosomal RNA". Rfam says of the family: 5.8S ribosomal RNA (5.8S rRNA) is a component of the large subunit of the eukaryotic ribosome. The record is from RNAcentral. Lineage: Eukaryota; Viridiplantae; Streptophyta; Magnoliopsida; Zingiberales; Musaceae.